This 429-nucleotide ribosomal RNA is filed under the name Bacteroidota bacterium. RNAcentral's name for it is "Bacteroidetes bacterium partial 16S ribosomal RNA". It matches the Rfam family "Bacterial small subunit ribosomal RNA", at positions 355 to 776 of the family's 1533-position model. The record is from RNAcentral. Lineage: Bacteria; Pseudomonadati; Bacteroidota. RNAcentral also lists the same sequence under 1 other name.
UAGGGAAUCUUCGGCAAUGGGGGGAACCCUGACCGAGCAACGCCGCGUGAGUGAAGAAGGUUUUCGGAUCGUAAAGCUCUGUUGUUAAGGAAGAACGAGUGUGAGAAUGGAAAGUUCAUGCUGUGACGGUACUUAACCAGAAAGGGACGGCUAACUACGUGCCAGCAGCCGCGGUAAUACGUAGGUCCCGAGCGUUGUCCGGAUUUAUUGGGCGUAAAGCGAGCGCAGGCGGUUAGAAAAGUCUGAAGUGAAAGGCAGUGGCUCAACCAUUGUAGGCUUUGGAAACUGUAUAACUUGAGUGCAGAAGGGGAGAGUGGAAUUCCAUGUGUAGCGGUGAAAUGCGUAGAUAUAUGGAGGAACACCGGUGGCGAAAGCGGCUCUCUGGUCUGUAACUGACGCUGAGGCUCGAAAGCGUGGGGAGCGAACAGG